GUGUCAGCAGCCGCGGUAAUACGGAGGGUGCAAGCGUUAUCCGGAUUCACUGGGUUUAAAGGGUGCGUAGGCGGGUAUGUAAGUCAGUGGUGAAAUCCCCGAGCUUAACUCGGGAACUGCCAUUGAUACUAUAUAUCUUGAAUAUUCUGGAGGUAUGCGGAAUAUGUCAUGUAGCGGUGAAAUGCUUAGAGAUGACAUAGAACACCUAUUGCGAAGGCAGCAUACUACGGAAAGAUUGACGCUGAGGCACGAAAGUGUGGGGAUCAAACAGGAUUAGAAACCCGUGUAGUCC
RNAcentral lists this ribosomal RNA (292 nucleotides) under uncultured bacterium. Its description in RNAcentral is "partial 16S ribosomal RNA". It matches the Rfam family "Bacterial small subunit ribosomal RNA", at positions 505 to 796 of the family's 1533-position model. The record is from RNAcentral.